CUUGGUCAUGAGGAAGUAAAAGUCGUAACAAGGUCUCCGUUGGUGAACCAGCGGAGGGAUCAUUACUGAGUUAUCCAAAAACUCCCAACCCUAUGUGAACUUACCACUGUUGCCUCGGCGAGCUGCGCUACCCUGUAGCUACCUUUGUAGCGACCUGGGAGCGCGUUAUAGGCUCGCCAGAGGACCACUAAACUCUGUUUUAUUUUGUAUCUCUGAAUCUUACAACUGAAAUCAGUUAAAACUUUCAACAACGGAUCUCUUGGUUCUG
This 268-nucleotide unclassified non-coding RNA is filed under the name Hypoxylon sp. RNAcentral's name for it is "partial internal transcribed spacer region". The stretch from base 1 to 65 matches the Rfam family "Eukaryotic small subunit ribosomal RNA", at positions 1767 to 1831 of the family's 1831-position model. The record is from RNAcentral. Lineage: Eukaryota; Fungi; Ascomycota; Sordariomycetes; Xylariales; Hypoxylaceae.